AGACAUGAAAAUAUUCCUCUCAUUAUACAGGUGGGCGCCUAUUGAACUAAGACAUGAAAAUAUUCCUCUCAUUAUACAGGUGGGCGCCUAUUGAACUAAGACAUGAAAAUAUUCCUCUCAUAUACAGGUGGUCGCCUAUUUAUUUAAGACAUGAAAAUAUUCCUCUCAUUAUACAGGUGGGCGCCUAUUGAACUAAGACAUGAAAAUAUUCCUCUCAUUAUACAGGUGGGUGCCUAUUUAUCUAAGACAUGAAAAUAUUCCUCUCAUUAUACAGGUGGGCGCCUAUUGAACUAAGACAUGAAAAUAUUCCUCUCAUUAUACAAGUGGGCGCCUAUUGAACUUAAGACAUGAAAAUAUUCCUCUCAUUAUACAGGUGGGCGCCUAUUGAACUAAGACAUGAAAAUAUUCCUCUCAUUAUACAGGUGGGCGUCUAUUGAACUUAAGAAAUGAA
This 451-nucleotide long non-coding RNA is filed under the name Nicotiana tabacum (common tobacco). RNAcentral's name for it is "long non-coding RNA (NTAB_LNC012502)". Lineage: Eukaryota; Viridiplantae; Streptophyta; Magnoliopsida; Solanales; Solanaceae. The record is from RNAcentral.